Long non-coding RNA from Pan troglodytes (chimpanzee), 321 nucleotides. RefSeq lists it as uncharacterized. NCBI's taxonomy places the organism in Eukaryota, Metazoa, Chordata, Mammalia, Primates, Hominidae. The transcript is spliced from 3 exons. The record is from RefSeq and is a predicted model, not a curated record.
GGGUCACUGCUACCCUGACUGACACCAUGGAUUUGCUGGAUCUGUUUGUGCUUCAGGUUCAAGGACUCCUACAGCCAAGGCUUGUUUGGGGGCUCAGAGCUGAUUUGCAGCCCAUCUCGAUGUGCCUCAUGGCUACUGAUCUCAUCCCUGCAUUCUUCUCCUCCUGCUUCCACCAGCUUUAUUAAGGCUCACUGUUCUGAGGUCAUUCUGAGGAUUUCUUCUGGGCUUGCAUAGCUGGGACUUCCUGUACCACCAGUUCAAUUCUGCCUAGAGCUGAGGACCAUGCCAGAUAAGCAAGUCCCACAAGCAGCCACUGCUCAG